AUUAACGCUGGCCGCGUGCCUAAUACCUGCAAGUCGAGCGAACAGACGAGGAGCUUGCUCCUCUAACGUUAGCGGCGGCCGGGUGAGUAACACGUGGAUAACCUACCUAUAAGACUGGGAUAACUUCGGGAAACCGGAGCUAAUACCGGAUAAUAUAUUGAACCGCAUGGUUCAAUAGUGAAAGACGGUUUUGCUGUCACUUAUAGAUGGAUCCGCGCCGCAUUAGCUAGUUGGUAAGGUAACGGCUUACCAAGGCAACGAUGCGUAGCCGACCUGAGAGGGUGAUCGGCCACACUGGAACUGAGACACGGUCCAGACUCCUACGGGAGGCAGCAGUAGGGAAUCUUCCGCAAUGGGCGAAAGCCUGACGGAGCAACGCCGCGUGAGUGAUGAAGGUCUUCGGAUCGUAAAACUCUGUUAUUAGGGAAGAACAAAUGUGUAAGUAACUAUGCACGUCUUGACGGUACCUAAUCAGAAAGCCACGGCUAACUACGUG
RNAcentral lists this ribosomal RNA (496 nucleotides) under uncultured bacterium. Its description in RNAcentral is "partial 16S ribosomal RNA". It matches the Rfam family "Bacterial small subunit ribosomal RNA", at positions 29 to 507 of the family's 1533-position model. The record is from RNAcentral.